AGGCCUAACACAUGCAAGUCGAGCGGAUGAGAAGAGCUUGCUCUUCGAUUCAGCGGCGGACGGGUGAGUAAUGCCUAGGAAUCUGCCUGGUAGUGGGGGACAACGUUUCGAAAGGAACGCUAAUACCGCAUACGUCCUACGGGAGAAAGCAGGGGACCUUCGGGCCUUGCGCUAUCAGAUGAGCCUAGGUCGGAUUAGCUAGUUGGUGAGGUAAUGGCUCACCAAGGCGACGAUCCGUAACUGGUCUGAGAGGAUGAUCAGUCACACUGGAACUGAGACACGGUCCAGACUCCUACGGGAGGCAGCAGUGGGGAAUAUUGGACAAUGGGCGAAAGCCUGAUCCAGCCAUGCCGCGUGUGUGAAGAAGGUCUUCGGAUUGUAAAGCACUUUAAGUUGGGAGGAAGGGCAUUAACCUAAUACGUUAGUGUUUUGACGUUACCGACAGAAUAAGCACCGGCUAACUCUGUGCCAGCAGCCGCGGUAAUACAGAGGGUGCAAGCGUUAAUCGGAAUUACUGGGCGUAAAGCGCGCGUAGGUGGUUUGUUAAGUUGAAUGUGAAAGCCCCGGGCUCAACCUGGGAACUGCAUCCAAAACUGGCAAGCUAGAGUACGGUAGAGGGUGGUGGAAUUUCCUGUGUAGCGGUGAAAUGCGUAGAUAUAGGAAGGAACACCAGUGGCGAAGGCGACCACCUGGACUGAUACUGACACUGAGGUGCGAAAGCGUGGGGAGCAAACAGG
RNAcentral lists this ribosomal RNA (737 nucleotides) under uncultured Pseudomonadales bacterium. RNAcentral describes it as "bacterial SSU rRNA". It matches the Rfam family "Bacterial small subunit ribosomal RNA", at positions 44 to 776 of the family's 1533-position model. Lineage: Bacteria; Pseudomonadati; Pseudomonadota; Gammaproteobacteria; Pseudomonadales. The record is from RNAcentral.